UGAAAAUACUGAAUUUGAAAAACAAAAAUUUUUAAUUUAAUUAAAAAUAUCUUUACAGCAUUCUUUAUUCGUCCAUUUUAUAAAAUGAUGCUUGGAAAACCUAUUAGCCUUAAAGAUAUGGAAUCAGUGGAUUCUGAAUAUUAUAAUUCACUGUUAUGGAUUAUGGAGAAUGAUCCUGCCGACUUGGACUUGAGGUUUUCUGUAGAUGAAGAUUUAUUUGGUCAAAUGCAGCAGAGAGAUUUAAAACCAAAUGGUAGUGAAAUUCCAGUAACUCAAGAAAAUAAGAUGGAAUACAUAAAUUUAGUUAUUCAGUGGAGAUUUGUUUCAAGAAUAGAACCACAAAUGAAUGCAUUUCUGGAAGGUUUUGGAGAAGUCGUGCCAAUGCACUUGAUAAAGCUAUUUGAUGAAAAUGAAUUAGAAUUGCUAAUGUGUGGUAUAGGCAAAAUUGAUGUGAAAGAUUGGAAACAAAACACAGUUUACAAAGGGGAUUACCAUGCUAAUCAUAUUGUAAUCCAGUGGUUUUGGAGAAUGGUCAUGUCAUUUUCUAAUGAAAUGAGAGCAAGAUUGCUUCAGUUUGUUACUGGAACCUCUAGAGUACCCAUGAAUGGCUUUAAAGAACUGUAUGGUAGUAAUGGCCCUCAACUUUUCACUAUAGAGAAAUGGGGUUCCACAGAUAACCUUCCUCGAUCACAUACAUGCAAUGUACGUAGACCUAUCAAUGGUGUGAUGAUGUUAUUUCUGAUGAAUCCCAUUUUUGCUUACACACAACAGCAUCGUUAUGGCCAUAUUCAUGUGCUGAAGCACUGAAAGGGAAGAAUAUUGGAAGCUUGUUUUCUCUAUCUUCAUAUCAACCCAGCAAAUGAAUUGAAGCUUUAACAGAAUUGACUUACCACCAUAUGACAGCUAUCAAGAACUAAGAGAUCGGUUAAUAAAAGCCAUUGAAGGAUCAGAAACGUUUGGCGGUGUGGACUAAUUAUAAUUACAUGAAUAACCAAUUCUGAAAUGUGUGCCUGCAUGAGCUCAACACUGAGGAAAAUUUCUGAUUCCAGACUACUUUAUUUAAAGUGUAUAUAUUAUGUAAUAAUAACAAAUUAGUUUAGGAUAUUUUCCAACUUUUGAAUGUUUUAUUUGUAAAAAAUUUGCUAAGGUAUCUUUCAUGAGCAAGGGAUAGCUAGAAAAAUGUUUGUACAAAUUUUGUUUUUGCUGUUGAAUGUUAGUCCAUGGUUUGUGCGUGCUUUUGUCAACCCUUGUUGCUCAAGUUUUAAACUGUGGACUUAAUCAUUUGAGUAAUUGAGCCUUAAACUGCUGUAUAUGUGAUCUAGUUGCUUUUUUAUGUGUUUUAUGAUUUAAAAGCUCCAACGUCUUUAUUGCAAUGUACUGUCAUAUGAUUUAUGUAUAAAAUUGAGUUGUGUAUAUUUUAUGCGUAAGAAAUGUCAAAUUUAUGUAUAUACGAUUUAAAUGUUGUAAAUUGAGCCCAACAAAUUCUGUUUGUACAAAAUCUUAGAAUAUAUUAAGGUUGAAUGUGUAGAGUUAAAAUAAGGUCCUGGUUUUGUGUGCUUUAGUACUGUCCUUCAGGUUGAUCUAAUUUCUUUCCAUGCAGCUGAAAUGCUUACAAGAAAAGGUUUUUCAUAAUACAUUAUAAAUUGAAAGUAAAUCAGUUCUUGAUUCAAAAUAAUUUAUAUCUGUGUUCUUUCAUUAGUAAAUGUUACAUCUUUAGGAACCCAUAAAAAGUAAGUACCAUUUAAUAUUGGUCAUUACAUUUUGAGCUAUGCACAUUAUUCAAAAAAAAAAACAUUACUUUCCUAGGAAUAUUUAUAACUAGCAAUAAAUUACAGAAAAUGGUCUUCUAAAUAUACUUUUCUUUAAAAGGAACCUUCUAAUGUAUAUACUAUAAAUUAGGAAGAAUUUAUCUAAAAGUUAGUAAUAUGUUAAUUUCCAUAGUUUGGAAAACUGAUAUUACUUCUGAGUAAUUUUGACAAAACUAUAUGAUAGUUUUUGGCAUUCAGAGUUAAGAGUUUUAGGCAUAUAUGUAUAGUUACUAAAGUAGAAUACUCACUGAUUUGUUGAUUAUUUUAUUUUUACUCAAAAUUUGUUUUUGAAAUCUAGUUUACUGUAUUAACCAAAAAUAUUAAUAAUAAAUGAAAUAUAAGGAAUUUAUUAAUGGUAGACUGUGUUUUAAAAUGUCAAAUUGGAAAAUAUCAUCAGAACAUUAUUAUAAAUUCAUUAAAUUUCAGCCAAAAUAGUGAGAUGUAAGUUUUUAUAAUGUAGCAUGUGGUAUAUAAUAUUAAUUUUUAAGCAUUUUAUAAUCUGUCAUUCUAAUUUUUGUAUCAAAAUGGUAAUUUAUAAUUUUUAAUUUCUUCACAACUGUACUUAUCUUUAUUAUUUUAUGUUGACUUACUUCAUAUUUGAAUAGCUGGCUGUAAGGCAUUCAUUAACAUUUAUGUAUAUAAAAUAAGGUAAUAUUGGAAUUCUUUGCAUAAAAGUAUUGAAUUGUGAUAAUUUAAAACUUAUUUACAUAUUUAUAAUUUAAACUAUAUGCAUACUUGUUUUUUUCUUCAUAUUCUAUUCAUUCAAAUUUAAUCAGAUUAUUGUUUCAUAAAAUUAUUUUCAUAAAAGUAUUUAAUUGUGAUAAUUUAAAAUUUAUUUACAUAUUUAUGAUUUUAACUAUACACAUGCAUACUUGCUUUUUUCCCCCUUCAUAUUCUAUUCAUUCAAAUUUAAUGAGAGUUCAAGAUAUUCAGCAAAUGAAAUGUUGAAGUUUCAUGGUAAUUGUUCAAAUUGAAAAGAUUUUCAGCGUGGAUUAGAAAAGCUUUAUUUAUAGUGAAAAGCCUAUAUCAUUAUUUGAAGCAUAAAUUAGCAGCAUACUUUUUAUGCAAGAAUGUAGAUAUUACUUUGUAAUAACAAAUACAUGCUCUAUAUUUACUUAGUCCUGCUAAAGCUGUUGGAAAGGUAAUGUGCCUUAUCUAAAUUUUGUGGUAUUAAUUGAUCACAAAAUUGUAUUCCAGUUUGUUUAACUUAAGGUGCAUUAUGAAAAUAAAUUAUUGGUAAUAAUUGAAA
This 3057-nucleotide unclassified non-coding RNA is filed under the name Stegodyphus dumicola. Its description in RNAcentral is "e3 ubiquitin-protein ligase Nedd-4-like, transcript variant X2". Lineage: Eukaryota; Metazoa; Arthropoda; Arachnida; Araneae; Eresidae. The record is from RNAcentral.